Molecule: ribosomal RNA, 514 nt
Filed under: uncultured Solirubrobacterales bacterium
Lineage: Bacteria; Bacillati; Actinomycetota; Thermoleophilia; Solirubrobacterales
Description: bacterial SSU rRNA
Rfam family: Bacterial small subunit ribosomal RNA
Source: RNAcentral
CGAGUAGUUGCUCCUGCGACAGACGACGCUGGCGGCGUGCUUAGCACAUGCAAGUCGAACGAGAAAGGCUCUUCGGAGCCGAGUACAGUGGCGAACGGGUGAGUAACACGUGGGCAACCCUGCCCCAAGGAGCGGGACAACCCGAGGAAACUCGGGCUAAUACCGCAUGAUUCGCAGAGCCUCAAGGCCCUGCGGGAAAUGGUAGCUUCGGCCUCCGCCUUGGGAUGGGCCCGCGGCGCAUUAGCUUGUUGGUGAGGUAACGGCCCACCAAGGCGACGAUGCGUAGCUGGUCUGAGAGGACGAUCAGCCACACUGGGACUGAGACACGGCCCAGACUCCUACGGGAGGCAGCAGUGGGGAAUCUUGCGCAAUGGGCGGAAGCCUGACGCAGCAACGCCGCGUGUGGGAAGACGGCCUUCGGGUUGUAAACCACUUUCAGGGGGGACGAAGCUUCCGAGGCUAAUAGCCUACGGGGUGACGGUACCCCCCAGAAGAAGCCCCGGCUAACUACGUG